Molecule: long non-coding RNA, 1461 nt
Filed under: Manihot esculenta (cassava)
Lineage: Eukaryota; Viridiplantae; Streptophyta; Magnoliopsida; Malpighiales; Euphorbiaceae
Description: long non-coding RNA (MESC_LNC005125)
Source: RNAcentral
CAAUAACUAGUACUUCAUAAGAAGAAAUGUGGAUAAAUCAUCCAAUGAAAUGUGUUUUUUUUUUUUCGGUAGGAUCCAAUGAAUUGCGUUUCGUAUGUUGUAAUUUUCACAUUCUGACGAAAUUAUUUGAUUUGGGCUUGUAGUUGGGGCAUGUUUGGACGUCUAUGCUUAAUCCUCGACAAGAUCUAAAAUGAAGCUCAUGUAGAUCCAGUUUGGCCUUGCGAUGUACAAGGCUUCUCUCGCGCUUACAUGAUUCAUGCGACUUCUCCACCUACCAAGCAAUAACAAAUAUUAUAACUUUGUCUUCUUGUCUCCCUUUUCUGGAUCAUCAUAACCCUACUCCUCUCCAUAUUUAGAAAAUUUAAGUUUUUUUCUUCUUUAAUGUAUACUUUCCCUUUUACUAAAUGCCAUCUUCAUUUAUCAACAGAUUGAUUGAUCUCAUUUUUAUUGUGAAAAACAAAGAGUCUAGGAGUGCUUGCUAUUGCUGCUAGGACUGCUUGCUAUUGCAUUGUAAUGGAUAAUACUGUAGAAUUGUUUAUAACAAAAUUAAAUGGUUAAAGGCAGAUCAGAAUAAAAUUAAAUUAUGUUUGCACUGGAUUAGCUUACUAAAAAGUAAUGUACUCAUAGUCAGUAUACCAAAUCGUUUAUCUGAGCGAUCGUCGGUCCAAUCCAAGCUAAUUGUUAUGAAUAUGCAACUUCAUGUAUCAUAGAGGUCAUGAAUACCGUACCAUAAAUCUAGUAAGAGUUAAAGGGGGCUUGUACACUAUCGUGAAGGUUUCCUCUGCAUUUUGGAGACAAGGGUUUUAACUUCAUAUGACGCAAACCUAUAUAAAAUGUUGUUCCCAGAAGAAGGAGAAAAAAAAAAAAGUGAAUCCUUAAACGUACUCUUACAUCCUUGUCCAAGAAUGCUCAUCACUUGCUAGAGUUAUACUUCUGAAGAAGUUCAAUGCUUCAUGUAUAUCAAACGGAAAUGGAUUCUGCCUUGGGAAACUUGGAAGGAGAAAAAGCCAAGAAAAUGAGGACGGUCAUGAUUAGGACUGGAACAAAGAGAAGGAACAGUGGUGGCGGUGGCAGUGGCGGCAGAACAAGCGGCAGAACCAGAAGGAAGAAAGUGAAAACAACCAUAACCAUGGUUGAUGUUAGAUUGAAACACUUUAACAUCAAAAUCAUCGCCGGCUGCUGCUGCUGAUAAUCAUCUCUAUGCAACCACAUAUACCAUCCAUUGUUAGAACUCAUGCAUAUCCUUCUUCCUCUUCUUCUUCUUUCCUGGUUUUGGGAGGAUGAAAAUGGGGUAUUUUGGCGUAAAAUGUGUAGAAAUUUUGAGAAACUAAGAGUUUAAAUAGAAUAGAAAAAGAAGGGAAAAAAGGAUUUUGAAAAACACUGUUCGAGAAAAGUGAAAGUUAAAGAAGCAAUCAUAGCUGCUGUGUGGUGAUCUUAAGGUUUGCGAUUGUUGGGUUCAUG